This 249-nucleotide ribosomal RNA is filed under the name uncultured Aspergillus. RNAcentral describes it as "partial large subunit ribosomal RNA". It matches the Rfam family "Eukaryotic large subunit ribosomal RNA", at positions 40 to 285 of the family's 3401-position model. The record is from RNAcentral. Lineage: Eukaryota; Fungi; Ascomycota; Eurotiomycetes; Eurotiales; Aspergillaceae.
AUAUCAAUAAGCGGAGGAAAAGAAACCAACCGGGAUUGCCUCAGUAACGGCGAGUGAAGCGGCAAGAGCUCAAAUUUGAAAUCUGGCCCCGUCGGGUCCGAGUUGUAAUUUGCAGAGGAUGCUUCGGGUGCGGCCCCCGUCUAAGUGCCCUGGAACGGGCCGUCGGAGAGGGUGAGAAUCCCGUCUGGGACGGGGUGUCCGCGUCCGUGUGAAGCUCCUUCGAAGAGUCGAGUUGUUUGGGAAAUGCAA